Molecule: ribosomal RNA, 253 nt
Filed under: uncultured bacterium
Lineage: Bacteria
Description: partial 16S ribosomal RNA
Rfam family: Bacterial small subunit ribosomal RNA
Source: RNAcentral
UACAUGGGGUGCAAACGUUGCUCGGAAUUAUUGGGCGUAAAGCGCGCGUAGGCGGUUACUUAAGUCGGAUGUGAAAGCCCUCGGCUUAACUGAGGAAGUGCACCCGAAACUGAGUAGCUAGAGUACGAAAGAGGGUCGCGGAAUUCCCGGUGUAGAGGUGAAAUUCGUAGAUAUCGGGAGGAACACCCGUGGCGAAGGCGGCUCUCUGGGACGGUACUGACGCUGAGACGCGAAAGCGUGGGGAGCGAACAGG